AACCCUUGAGCAAUGACAAGUACCUGCCAAACACUGUUGUGAAAACCUCUCUCCUGGGAAAACAAAAGUCAUGACAUUUUGAGCACAAUUGUGUGUGGGAUGCAUUCAUCAAUAGAGCUGGAAGCACCAACCACCAUAGGAGUAGAGACAGGGUUUCACCACAUUGGCUAGGCUGGUCUUGAACUCCUGACCUCAAGUGAUCCACCCCCAUCAGCAUCCCAAAGUGCUGGGAUUACAGAGGAAACUUUUAGUUACAAGCACAUGAAUAAAUAAAAUCAAACUCAACUGGAAUGACGUUCCUGAGGAUGGAGAUACAUUUUUUUGUUGACCCAUCUAAACUUGAACAGCAAGUGAUAAUCAGUCUCCAAUCAGAAAGUCCCAGGACUUAUAGGAGCAGAAAUCAGAAGACUUUACUCCACACACUUCAGGUGGACAUGUGGACAAAGCCAUCGGAGAACAUGACAAAAAUACAGCAAGAGCAGAGACAAGAUCAGAUCAUCCUGGGGGCAGAUGCUGGGCUCUGACCAAUUUGAGAGAGAAAAGGAAAAAGAACCCAGCUACAAGAUGCACAAGUAGCAGGCCACAGCCACCAACAUCAGCAGAGCAAUUGGAGGCCAGGAAGACAAGGACACUUCUGAAGAGACUGAAAAAAGCAGAAGACAGUCCAAGUCACUGCAAGGUUCCAAGGUCUCUUUUUUCAUUACUGUUACAAGUACCAAGUAAGCCAAAAUCCACCCUACUCUUCAAAACCAUCUUGAAGAGUUGCAGGUCAGGGUUGCUGCAUCUGAGCAUGUUUACUCACAAAAGGUGACAGAUGCUCCUCAACUUACAAUGAGAUUACAUCCUGAUAAAUGUGUCAUAAGUUGAAAGUAUCUUAUAAGUCGAAAAUGCAUUUACUACAGCCUAACCCACUGAACAUUGUAGCUUAGGCUAGCCUACCUUAAAACGUGAUCAGGACACUUCCCUCAGCCUACAUUUGGGCAAAAUCACCUAACACGAAGCCUAUUUUAUAAUAGAGCAUUGAAUAGCUCAAAUAAUUUAUUGAAUACUGUACAUUACAUAGAAUUUGUGACAGUUUUACACCAUCAUUAUGUCAAAAAAUCAUUAAGUUGAGCCACCAUAACUCAGGGACUGUCUGUAUUUAUAUUUUUACUUCACACUAAGCUUUGAAACUGAAAUUUUUGCUCCUCAGCAGAUGGGGUUUCUGAGAAAGACCAAAUUAGUUAUAGAGCACUAGCUCCCAAAAAAAAAAAAAAAAAAAAACAGAAGAAGUCAGAGGAGGAGGGCAACAUGGAGCAGAGGAAGAAGGAGAGAAAAAGCAAGAAACCAUUAUCGCUCCCUCAUCUGAACUGCACUGCGAGUAAGCUGGGGCUUCCACCACAGUGUCCUGGAAGCCAUGUUUGCUGCCCAUUUCUGGACUCUCCAGCCACACUGGCCUCCUUUCCCUUUCUCAAACCUGCUGUGGUUCCUGCCACUUCAAGAUAAUCUCUUAACAAUCUAUUCCUUCUGCCUGGAAUGCUCUUCCUCCCACCCAACCCCGCUCUGCCCAGCUAACUCCAUUCUUUGGCCCCUGCAUCACUUUCCCAAGGAAGCCAUUUCUGGACUUCCCUGACCCCUGCCUUCCAUCUUCACUGGCCCAGAGUUCCCUACCCUAUGGUCUCAUUGCUCCCUCCCAGGCACUGCUGCCUCCCAGGACUCUUCCCUGUCGGUAAUAUAGUUCUGUUUGAUUGUUCAGUUAAUUUUGCCUCCCCUGAAGACCAUAAGCCAUGUUGGCAAUGAUGGUUUUGCUCACCAUUGCACCUCCAGUGUCUAAAAACCAUGGGCAGGUCAAUUCAUUUUUGUUGAGUAAAGGAAUUGUUCAAUAAGUGCACAAAUAAAUUCACAUUAAAACUUGUCC
This 1897-nucleotide long non-coding RNA is filed under the name Homo sapiens (human). Its description in RNAcentral is "PREDICTED lncRNA (TCONS_00021807)". Lineage: Eukaryota; Metazoa; Chordata; Mammalia; Primates; Hominidae. The record is from RNAcentral.